RNAcentral lists this ribosomal RNA (581 nucleotides) under uncultured bacterium. RNAcentral describes it as "bacterial SSU rRNA". It matches the Rfam family "Bacterial small subunit ribosomal RNA", at positions 102 to 679 of the family's 1533-position model. The record is from RNAcentral. RNAcentral also lists the same sequence under 1 other name.
ACGGGUGAGUAAUGUCUGGGGAUCUGCCCGAUAGAGGGGGAUAACCACUGGAAACGGUGGCUAAUACCGCAUAACGUCGCAAGACCAAAGAGGGGGACCUUCGGGCCUCUCACUAUCGGAUGAACCCAGAUGGGAUUAGCUAGUAGGCGGGGUAACGGCCCACCUAGGCGACGAUCCCUAGCUGGUCUGAGAGGAUGACCAGCCACACUGGAACUGAGACACGGUCCAGACUCCUACGGGAGGCAGCAGUGGGGAAUAUUGCACAAUGGGCGCAAGCCUGAUGCAGCCAUGCCGCGUGUAUGAAGAAGGCCUUCGGGUUGUAAAGUACUUUCAGCGGGGAGGAAGGCGAUGUGGUUAAUAACCUUGUCGAUUGACGUUACCCGCAGAAGAAGCACCGGCUAACUCCGUGCCAGCAGCCGCGGUAAUACGGAGGGUGCAAGCGUUAAUCGGAAUUACUGGGCGUAAAGCGCACGCAGGCGGUCUGUUAAGUCAGAUGUGAAAUCCCCGGGCUUAACCUGGGAACUGCAUUUGAAACUGGCAGGCUUGAGUCUCGUAGAGGGGGGUAGAAUUCCAGGUGUAGC